RNAcentral lists this ribosomal RNA (402 nucleotides) under uncultured prokaryote. RNAcentral's name for it is "bacterial SSU rRNA". It matches the Rfam family "Bacterial small subunit ribosomal RNA", at positions 355 to 774 of the family's 1533-position model. The record is from RNAcentral.
UAGGGAAUAUUAGAAAUGGACGAAAGUCUGAUCUAGCAACACCGCGUGUGCGAAGAAGGCCUUCGGGUCGUAAAGCACUUUUUGGAAGGAAUAGGAAGGAAUGUACUUCCAGAAUAAGUCUCGGCUAACUACGUGCCAGCAGCCGCGGUAACACGUAGGAGGCAAACGUUAUCCGGAUUUACUGGGCGUAAAGCGCGUGUAGGUGGUACUGUAAGUAGGGCGUGAAAGCUCCUGGCUCAACUGGGAGAGGCCGUUCUAAACUGCAGAGCUAGAGGAUGGUAGAGGGAGGUGGAAUUCCGGGUGUAGCGGUGGAAUGCGCAGAUAUCCGGAGGAACACCAGUGGCGAAGGCGGCCUCCUGGACCAUUCCUGACACUCAGACGCGAAAGCUAGGGUAGCAAACG